GUCUUAUUGGGGAUGAAUCAUCUCUUCAAGUUUCAACUAAUAAUUCAUCAUGCUUCGAGAAAAAUAAGAUUGCACUAAAAUUGGAGGUGCUUUGUGAUAGUCAAGGCAAUAAUACGUGUCCAGAAGGAGGAGUUGGUGUUUAUAACCCAGGAUUUUGGGGAAUGAACAUACAAAAGCUCAAAUGGGUCGCAAACGUUGGCCACGACUAACAUUAUUGCUGUAGCUUCAGACGUUUCAAAUUGGACAAGAUGGGGACUUCUCUGGAAGCCAAAGAAACAGAUCCAAAAGCAAGACUUCAAUUGACAACUUCGCAAAAGGGGGUCAUAUGGAUCGAUCCAUGCCCACAGACACAGGGACAUGGAUUUAGAAAAGAUCUUGCUAGAAUGCUUGCAGAUAUGAAACCACGAUUCAUGAGAUUUCCAGGUGGGUGUUUUGUUGAAGGUGAUUAUAUGAAAAAUGCGUUACGGUGGAAAGAAACAGUUGGACCAUGGGCGGAGAGGCCUGGGCAUUAUGGUGAUGUAUGGAAGUAUUAGACUGAUGAUGGAAUGGGUUAUUUUGAGUUUCUUCAACUAACUGAAGACCUUGGUACAUUGCCAAUCUGGGUAUUUAACAUGGGUAAUCACCUUUACUGUUUAUGAUCCUCUUAUUAGCCUUUAUUGUUACAUUUCUUUUUCUAUUUUUUUCUUUUUUGAUAGGAAUCGCCCAUAGCGACGAUCUCCAACCUUUUGUACAAGUAAGUCUGCAAGUUUUGUUGUUUGAUUUGACGAAAUAUGGAAUGCACAAAUUCCUUGAUUCAUACUGGAGCAAUUAUCUCAUUCAA
This is a long non-coding RNA of Pistacia vera, 820 nucleotides long. RefSeq lists it as uncharacterized. Lineage: Eukaryota; Viridiplantae; Streptophyta; Magnoliopsida; Sapindales; Anacardiaceae. The record is from RefSeq and is a predicted model, not a curated record. The transcript is spliced from 4 exons.